Molecule: non-coding RNA, 73 nt
Organism: Hemibagrus wyckioides
Lineage: Eukaryota; Metazoa; Chordata; Actinopteri; Siluriformes; Bagridae
Source: the annotation of a RefSeq genome assembly
GCACUGGUGGCUCAGUGGUAGGGGUUUCUAGCCUACUAUGCAGAAGGCCUGGGUUCAAUUCCCAGCCAGUGCC